This 891-nucleotide long non-coding RNA is filed under the name Marmota monax (woodchuck). Lineage: Eukaryota; Metazoa; Chordata; Mammalia; Rodentia; Sciuridae. The record is from RNAcentral.
AAGCAUUUUAUGAUUCCUGUGUUACAGGUGAGGAAACUGAGGCUUAACUAAGUGACAUGCUUUUAGGUUCCAGAGAUGCAGCAAGCACAACCAAAUCUCAAAUCCAGGGCCAUCAAAUUUUGAUGGCUCGUGCCUCUUUUUUGGUGGGGGAAGGGUACCAGGGAUUGAACUCAGAGGCACUCAGCCACUGAGCCACAUCCCCAGCACUAUUUUGUAUUUUAUUUAGAGACACGGUCUCACUGAGUUGCUUAGUAACUUGCUUUUGCUCAGGCUGGCUUUGAACUUGAGAUCCUUCUGCCUCAGCCUCCCAAUGGGAUUACUUGCACAUGCACCAGCUGGUUAGUGCUCUUAAUGACUGUGAUUACUUAAUAAUAGCAGGAAGCACUGAACAAUAGAAAAAGCAUCUUUAGAUUUUUUUAUUGUAAAAUACACAUAAAUUUGCCAUUUGAACCAUUUUUAAGUGUACAGUUCAGUGGUACUAAUAUAUUCACAUUGUUCUGUGACUAUGCUCAAGUGUCCAUUUCCAGAACCUUUUCAUUAUCCUGUAAUAAAACUUACAGACUUUAAACUCCUUCUGUUUUAAUAUGUGGAUACCACCCACUCAGAGCAUACAGACCUCAUAAGUGAGGGUGGCACUGUCAUGUCCUUUCUGCCUUUAGGGCCUCCUGGGAUCUUGUUCAGCUUAGAGCCUUCAGACCGAAUGUUCCAGCUUCCUGGGGGCACUGAAGCAAGGGUCUCCUGAGAAGAGGUUGCUGUUUCUAGAGUACCCAGAGUACUUAUUGCCCUGCUACCCAAUAAUGUGGUAGAAAUUGUUCAUUGGAAAGUUGUCUUAGGACACUUGGAAACAGAUGCGAGCAAGGGGAACGGGCAUCAUGAAGAUUCCUAUUAGAG